UACGGAGGGUGCAAGCGUUAGUCGGAAUUACUGGGCGUAAAGGGCGCGUAGGCUGGAAGGUAAGUCAGCUGUGAAAUCCCGGAGCUCAACUCCGGAAGUGCAUCUGAUACUGCCUUUCUUGAGGAUAAGCGGAGAAAACGGAAUUCCACGUGUAGCGGUGAAAUGCGUAGAUAUGUGGAAGAACACCUGUGGCGAAAGCGGUUUUCUAGUUUAGACCUGACGCUGAGGCGCGAAAGCAAGGGGAGCAAACAGG
This 253-nucleotide ribosomal RNA is filed under the name uncultured bacterium. RNAcentral's name for it is "partial 16S ribosomal RNA". It matches the Rfam family "Bacterial small subunit ribosomal RNA", at positions 524 to 776 of the family's 1533-position model. The record is from RNAcentral.